Molecule: ribosomal RNA, 450 nt
Filed under: uncultured bacterium
Lineage: Bacteria
Description: partial 16S ribosomal RNA
Rfam family: Bacterial small subunit ribosomal RNA
Source: RNAcentral
GUGGGGAAUUUUGGACAAUGGGGGCAACCCUGAUCCAGCCAUGCCGCGUGCAGGAAGAAGGCCUUCGGGUUGUAAACUGCUUUUGUACGGAACGAAACGGUCCGGGUUAAUACCCUGGGCUAAUGACGGUACCGUAAGAAUAAGCACCGGCUAACUACGUGCCAGCAGCCGCGGUAAUACGUAGGGUGCAAGCGUUAAUCUGAAUUACUGGGCGUAAAGCGUGCGCAGGCGGUUUUGUAAGACAGGCGUGAAAUCCCCGGGCUCAACCUGGGAAUUGCGCUUGUGACUGCAAGGCUGGAGUGCGGCAGAGGGGGAUGGAAUUCCGCGUGUAGCAGUGAAAUGCGUAGAUAUGCGGAGGAACACCGAUGGCGAAGGCAAUCCCCUGGGCCUGCACUGACGCUCAUGCACGAAAGCGUGGGGAGCAAACAGGAUUAGAUACCCGAGUAGUCC